This is a long non-coding RNA of Frieseomelitta varia, 1897 nucleotides long. RefSeq lists it as uncharacterized. NCBI's taxonomy places the organism in Eukaryota, Metazoa, Arthropoda, Insecta, Hymenoptera, Apidae. The transcript has 2 exons. The record is from RefSeq and is a predicted model, not a curated record.
AAAAAAAAAAAAGAGAAAAGAAAGAAGGAUUUACGCAACGGGGGAAUUUUACGGAACGAUUUAUUGCUGAGGGAUGGGGCCAAGAAUAAAUAUGGAUUGAUGCAAAUGCAACGUUUGGAAUUCGCGAAUAGAAAAAACAGGGACAUGCUCCGUCAAAUCGGAAAAAUCGUAGUAAAAAAUCGCCCGUAACCUGUAACGUUCGGCUAUUCCCUGAACUGGAACAUCUGUUAUUAUUUUAUUCACUGAACCGACAGUGUUAAGUUACAGAGUAAGCAAGCAACGACGGAAGAACGAAAUUCCAAAGAGGAUGAGAAAAAAAGAGAGGAGGAAACGAAGCGAGUCCAUAACUUGGCAUAAACCGAGCGCAAUCUGAAAGUUAGCCGCGGUUCCCUUUACAUCAAACUGAAAGGACUGAAGGGCAGGGAAGCAGUUUCAGGUCAACCGCGUUCCACAUGGUAACUCCGCUAACGAGAACGGGAUUACCCCGGUCUAGUUUGUUCCCGGUCGAACUUAAAUCUCGAUCCAAACGAGCUGCAGGUAUUGCUUAAGUUUCGCCGCGGAGAAAUUCCACGGAGGAGGAGCCGAUCCCGCGGCGCCACGUCACCGCUGACCCAGAAAUCCUUCUCGGGGAUUCUUUUUCGCGCAAUUGCGCGUCGAUUUUCUAUUCAUAAUCGACGGGCCAAACGGGAAAUGAUCACGACGACGACGACGAACCAGGACGAGACGCGACAAAGGAAUUUUCACCGAGCGAAAGAGGAAGAGACAGUUUCAUUAUACGCGCGGUUCCGCGGUCACCCCGUCAGGGACCGACCGACAAUGCGAACGGAAAGCGCAAAUCAUCCCCGUGGAAUAGAGAGCGGCCCGAUUCAUUUUAACGACCGUUAAACCGGACGAAUGGAGAAUGCGAUGUUACACUUGACGAUCGUUAAAACUUAACGAAAUCCAGCCCGCGAGGCAGUAGAACGGGCCAGCGUGCUGCCAGCCUGGAAAUCGAGGUCAGCCGUGCAGGGGAGAAAAAAAAAAAAAAUCGUAUAAUUGCUCCCCCUGAAGGCUGGAUACGAGGUUACGGCUGGAUAACUAGUACCAGUCGUAACUGAAGGCUCUAAGGCGAGAUGCUGGACGCAGAUUGGACUAACAGUUGCGUUAUCGGUGUUGCACAGUCGAUGGAAGAUAUACGCAGGUCGGUGUGGAGUGGGUUAGAGGGUUUAAUUAACGUUCGUCGCGAAUUGAAACAGGGAGUAUCGAGAUUUUGUGAAAUUCAAGGAAUUUGAAUUUCUCGUUCGGAACUGGUUUUCCAAUUAUAAAUUAAUAACACGUAGGUGCUUUCGGCAAAUUUUCGUACAAGAAAUGCGAGACUUAGGAUUUAAAAUUAGUGUAAACUUUAUAUCAGACUCUGUUCGAAUAUUUUUGCCAUUUGAUCGCCGCAAAAGUAGCAAUUUCGUGGCGCGAACUACAUUAACGUGAGUUUCCAGCGAAAUAAGCAUGAAGUCAUAAAUUGGGGUUACUUUCAACAAUUUACCGAGUCGCUAUUAAAUCGACCCGCGUCCUUUCGACUUUGUAACUUUUUAAGAACGACGAGGGGGACCGAACGACGUUUAAUUGCCUGUCGAAUACGACUUACGAGAAAAAGGGGGGGGGGGGGAAAGGAAAGAAGAAAAAGAAACUGUCGUUCGUUGAAAAUAACGGAGAAACACGAGCAAACAGGCAACAAAAGGGACAAAUCGCUGGCGAACGUCUAUUUUCAUUACGUGGAACUGCUCGGUAAACUCAGAUCCUUUUCCUCCCCCGUAUGCAUCGAGUUCUCCAAACUCUCCUAACGUAAUUUCACGUUAUGUUUAACGACAAGAGAGAGGCACGCGCUUUUGCCUCGUAUCGAAAGCAAAAUCCAAUGAAAGAG